Molecule: ribosomal RNA, 405 nt
Filed under: Simnialena uniplicata
Lineage: Eukaryota; Metazoa; Mollusca; Gastropoda; Littorinimorpha; Ovulidae
Description: partial 16S ribosomal RNA
Rfam family: Bacterial large subunit ribosomal RNA
Source: RNAcentral
ACUUUGACCGUGCAAAGGUAGCAUAAUCAUUUGCCCUAUAAUUGAGGGCUGGUAUGAAUGGUUUGACGUAAGCAAAACUGUCUCUAUAUUGAUUUUUUAGAAUUUGAUUUUUAGGUGAAGAAACCUAAAUUAAAUUAAAAGACAAGAAGACCCUAUUGAGCUUUAAAAAAGUAAAUAGAAUAAUAACUUUUUAUUUUAAAAAUUUAUCUAUUUAAGAUUUUGGUUGGGGCGACUAAGGAACAAAUAAAGCUUCUUCUUUCAUUAAAGUUUUACAGAUAUUGAUCCAGAUAUUUUGAUUAAAGAAAAUAGUUACCAUAGGGAUAACAGCAUAAUUCUCUUUAAGAGUUCAUAUCGAAAAGAGAGUUUGUGACCUCGAUGUUGGACUAGAAUAUCCUAAAGAUGCAG